UGGGUUUGACAUCCCAAGAACUCUGUGGAAACAUAGAGGUGCCUCGCAAGAGGAGCUUGGAGAC
This 64-nucleotide ribosomal RNA is filed under the name uncultured bacterium. RNAcentral's name for it is "partial 16S ribosomal RNA". The record is from RNAcentral.